CACGUAGGGGGCAAGCGUUGUUCGGAAUUAUUGGGCGUAAAGGGCAUGUAGGCGGUUUGGUAAGCCUGAUGUGAAAUCCUGCAGCUUAACUGUAGAACUGCAUUGGGUACUGCCGAACUUGAAUCACUGAGGGGAAACUAGAAUUCCAGGUGUAGGGGUGGAAUCUGUAGAUAUCUGGAAGAAUACCGGUGGCGAAGGCGGGUUUCUAGCAGAUGAUUGACGCUGAGGUGCGAAAGUGCGGGGAGCGAACCGG
Molecule: ribosomal RNA, 253 nt
Filed under: uncultured prokaryote
Description: partial 16S ribosomal RNA
Rfam family: Bacterial small subunit ribosomal RNA
Source: RNAcentral